RNAcentral lists this ribosomal RNA (465 nucleotides) under uncultured bacterium. Its description in RNAcentral is "partial 16S ribosomal RNA". It matches the Rfam family "Bacterial small subunit ribosomal RNA", at positions 28 to 507 of the family's 1533-position model. The record is from RNAcentral.
GAUGAACGCUGGCGGCGUGCUUAACACAUGCAAGUCGAACGGAAAGGCUCCUGCUUGCAGGGGUACUCGAGUGGCGAACGGGUGAGUAACACGUGGGUGAUCUGCCCUGCACUUCGGGAUAAGCCUGGGAAACUGGGUCUAAUACCGGAUAGGACGAUGGUUUGGAUGCCAUUGUGGAAAGUUUUUCGGUAUGGGAUGAGCUGGCGGCCUAUCAGCUUGUUGGUGGGGUAAUGGCCUACCAAGGCGUCGAAGGGUAGCCGGCCUGAGAGGGUGGACGGGCACAAUGGGACUGAGAGACGGCGCAGACUCCAACGGGAGGCAGCAGUGGGGAAUAUUGCACAAUGGGCGCAAGUCGGAGGCAGCGACGCCGCGUUGGGGAUGACGGCCUUCGGGUUGUAAACUGCUGUCGCUAGAGACGAAGCGCAAGUGACGGUACCUGGAGAAGAAGCACCGGCUAACUACGUG